AACGCAAAUUGCACUCCCUGGUAUUCCGGGGAGUAUGCCUGUUUGAGGGUCGUUAGAAUAAAAAAUCGAAGCGUCGCUCUUUUUUUUAAGGGUGAUCGCGUCGGAAUUGAGCCGUCUUUCAAAUGUUAAUUCAUGUCAAAGUGGCUUAAAAUUCAUCCACCCGGUACGAUUAAAGCGUAUUUAAGAUCAAUUUUGUUCAAGAACGCGCGAUGACGUACCAUCUCAUGUAGUACGUUUGACCUGGGUCAUCAGGCUCAUUCGUAUACGAUACUCAAACUUUUGACCUCAAAUCAGGUAAGAAUACCCGCUGAACUUAA
Molecule: unclassified non-coding RNA, 317 nt
Filed under: uncultured Funneliformis
Lineage: Eukaryota; Fungi; Glomeromycota; Glomeromycetes; Glomerales; Glomeraceae
Description: sequence contains ITS2
Rfam family: 5.8S ribosomal RNA (bases 1-52)
Source: RNAcentral